Molecule: ribosomal RNA, 467 nt
Filed under: uncultured bacterium
Lineage: Bacteria
Description: bacterial SSU rRNA
Rfam family: Bacterial small subunit ribosomal RNA
Source: RNAcentral
CACUCCUACGGGAGGCAGCAGUGGGGAAUAUUGCACAAUGGGCGCAAGCCUGAUGCAGCCAUGCCGCGUGUAUGAAGAAGGCCUUCGGGUUGUAAAGUACUUUCAGCAGUGAGGAAGGUGGGUAUGUUAAUAGCAUACUCAUUUGACGUUAGCUGCAGAAGAAGCACCGGCUAACUCCGUGCCAGCAGCCGCGGUAAUACGGAGGGUGCGAGCGUUAAUCGGAAUUACUGGGCGUAAAGCGCAUGCAGGUGGUUUGUUAAGUCAGAUGUGAAAGCCCGGGGCUCAACCUCGGAAUUGCAUUUGAAACUGGCAAACUAGAGUACUGUAGAGGGGGUAGAAUUUCAGGUGUAGCGGUGAAAAUGCGUAGAGAUCUGAAGGAAUACCGGUGGCGAAGGCGGCCCCCUGGACAGAUACUGACACUCAGAUGCGAAAGCGUGGGGAGCAAACAGGAUUAGAUACCCUGGUAG